GACGAACGCUGGCGGCGUGCUUAACACAUGCAAGUCGAACGGAAAGGCCCCUUUGGGGGUCCUCGAGUGGCGAACGGGUGAGUAACACGUGAGUAACCUGCCCUUGACUUCGGGAUAACUUCAGGAAACUGGGGCUAAUACCGGAUAGGAAUCCUUGCUGCAUGGUGGGGGUUGGAAAGCUUCGGCGGUUUUGGAUGGGCUCGCGGCUUAUCAGCUUGUUUGUGGGGUAGUGGCUUACAAAGGCUUUGACGGGUAGCCGGGCUGAGAGGGCGACCGGCCACAUUGGGACUGGGAUACGGCCCAGACUCCUACGGGAGGCAGGAGUGGGGAAGAGUGCACAAUGGGCGGAAGCCUGAUGCAGCAACGCCGCGUGCGGGAUGACGGCCUUCGGGUUGGAAACCGCUUUCAGCAGGGGCGAAGCUUGUGGUGACGGUACCUGCAGAAGAAGCACCGGCUAACUACGUG
RNAcentral lists this ribosomal RNA (465 nucleotides) under uncultured bacterium. Its description in RNAcentral is "partial 16S ribosomal RNA". It matches the Rfam family "Bacterial small subunit ribosomal RNA", at positions 28 to 507 of the family's 1533-position model. The record is from RNAcentral.